AACGAACGCUGGCGGCAUGCCUAACACAUGCAGGUCGAACGAGACCUUCGGGUCUAGUGGCGCACGGGUGCGUAACGCGUGGGAAUCUGCCCUUAGGUUCGGAAUAACAGUUAGAAAUGACUGCUAAUACCGGAUAAUGACUUCGGUCCAAAGAUUUAUCGCCUAAGGAUGAGCCCGCGUAGGAUUAGCUAGUUGGUGAGGUAAAGGCUCACCAAGGCUACGAUCCUUAGCUGGUCUGAGAGGAUGAUCAGCCACACUGGGACUGAGACACGGCCCAGACUCCUACGGGAGGCAGCAGUGGGGAAUAUUGGACAAUGGGCGAAAGCCUGAUCCAGCAAUGCCGCGUGAGUGAUGAAGGCCUUAGGGUUGUAAAGCUCUUUUACCCGGGAUGAUAAUGACAGUACCGGGAGAAUAAGCUCCGGCUAACUCCGUGCCAGCCGCCGCAGU
Molecule: ribosomal RNA, 447 nt
Filed under: uncultured bacterium
Lineage: Bacteria
Description: bacterial SSU rRNA
Rfam family: Bacterial small subunit ribosomal RNA
Source: RNAcentral